UACGGAGGGUGCAAGCGUUAAUCGGAAUUACUGGGCGUAAAGCGCACGCAGGUGGCUGAGUAAGUCGAUUGUGAAAGCCCUGGGCUUAACCUGGGAAUUGCAGUCGAUACUGCUCGGCUAGAGUAUGGGAGAGGGUAGUGGAAUUCCCGGUGUAGCGGUGAAAUGCGUAGACAUCGGGAGGAACAUCAGUGGCGAAGGCGGCUACCUGGCCCAAUACUGACACUCAGGUGCGACAGCGUGGGGAGCAAACAGG
RNAcentral lists this ribosomal RNA (253 nucleotides) under uncultured bacterium. Its description in RNAcentral is "partial 16S ribosomal RNA". It matches the Rfam family "Bacterial small subunit ribosomal RNA", at positions 524 to 776 of the family's 1533-position model. The record is from RNAcentral.